This 253-nucleotide ribosomal RNA is filed under the name uncultured bacterium. RNAcentral's name for it is "partial 16S ribosomal RNA". It matches the Rfam family "Bacterial small subunit ribosomal RNA", at positions 524 to 776 of the family's 1533-position model. The record is from RNAcentral.
UACGUAGGGUGCAAGCGUUAAUCGGAAUUACUGGGCGUAAAGCGUGCGCAGGCGGUUUUGUAAGUCUGAUGUGAAAUCCCCGGGCUCAACCUGGGAAUUGCAUUGGAGACUGCAAGGCUAGAAUCUGGCAGAGGGGGGUAGAAUUCCACGUGUAGCAGUGAAAUGCGUAGAGAUGUGGAGGAACACCGAUGGCGAAGGCAGCCCCCUGGGUCAAGAUUGACGCACAUGCACGAAAGCGUGGGGAGCAAACAGG